This 482-nucleotide ribosomal RNA is filed under the name uncultured bacterium. Its description in RNAcentral is "bacterial SSU rRNA". It matches the Rfam family "Bacterial small subunit ribosomal RNA", at positions 29 to 506 of the family's 1533-position model. The record is from RNAcentral.
UUGAACGCUGGCGGCAUGCUUUACACAUGCAAGUCGAGCGGCAGCGCGGGGGCAACCCUGGCGGCGAGCGGCGAACGGGUGAGUAAUACAUCGGAACGUACCCAGUUGUGGGGGAUAGCCCGGCGAAAGCCGGAUUAAUACCGCAUAAGUCCUGAGGGAGAAAGCGGGGGACCGUAAGGCCUCGCGCGAUUGGAGCGGCCGAUGUUCGAUUAGCUAGUUGGUGGGGUAAAGGCUCACCAAGGCGACGAUCCGUAGCGGGUCUGAGAGGAUGAUCCGCCACACUGGGACUGAGACACGGCCCAGACUCCUACGGGAGGCAGCAGUGGGGAAUUUUGGACAAUGGGCGAAAGCCUGAUCCAGCCAUGCCGCGUGAGUGAAGAAGGCCUUCGGGUUGUAAAGCUCUUUCAGCCGGAAAGAAAUCGCGCAGGCUAAUACUCUGCGUGGAUGACGGUACCGGAAGAAGAAGCACCGGCUAACUACGU